RNAcentral lists this ribosomal RNA (464 nucleotides) under uncultured Klebsiella sp. RNAcentral's name for it is "bacterial SSU rRNA". It matches the Rfam family "Bacterial small subunit ribosomal RNA", at positions 338 to 795 of the family's 1533-position model. The record is from RNAcentral. Lineage: Bacteria; Pseudomonadati; Pseudomonadota; Gammaproteobacteria; Enterobacterales; Enterobacteriaceae.
CCUACGGGGGGCAGCAGUGGGGAAUAUUGCACAAUGGGCGCAAGCCUGAUGCAGCCAUGCCGCGUGUGUGAAGAAGGCCUUCGGGUUGUAAAGCACUUUCAGCGGGGAGGAAGGCGUUAGGGUUAAUAACCUUGGCGAUUGACGUUACCCGCAGAAGAAGCACCGGCUAACUCCGUGCCAGCAGCCGCGGUAAUACGGAGGGUGCAAGCGUUAAUCGGAAUUACUGGGCGUAAAGCGCACGCAGGCGGUCUGUCAAGUCGGAUGUGAAAUCCCCGGGCUCAACCUGGGAACUGCAUUCGAAACUGGCAGGUUAGAGUCUUGUAGAGGGGGGUAGAAUUCCAGGUGUAGCGGUGAAAUGCGUAGAGAUCUGGAGGAAUACCGGUGGCGAAGGCGGCCCCCUGGACAAAGACUGACGCUCAGGUGCGAAAGCGUGGGGAGCAAACAGGAUUAAUACCCUUGUAGUC